This 1412-nucleotide long non-coding RNA is filed under the name Sinocyclocheilus grahami. RNAcentral's name for it is "lncRNA (ENSSGRG00000010123.1)". The record is from RNAcentral. Lineage: Eukaryota; Metazoa; Chordata; Actinopteri; Cypriniformes; Cyprinidae.
AUGUUAGUAUGGUGUACACAUCUGUUCUCGGAGCGUCUGACUGCCUGUGUUUCCUCAGACGGGUGAGAUGGGUCUCACUCAGAGCGUGGGCGAGGAUGGACUGAGGUUUGAGGUGUGGGUGAGACACGCGUCCCGCACCAGAGACUGUCUCACUCUCCAGGCCUCCAGCGUGCAGGAGAGACAAACCUGGAGCCACGACAUCGCACAGCUGCUCUGGACUCACGCCAUCCACAACACGGAGUUGUGUCUGAAGGAGUCUCUGUGUAUGGGAGUUUCCAGUAAGCUGCUACUGGAUGUGACGGGAGCUCAACUUUCAGACCUGGACUCCAGCUUCAGCCUGAAUGACAGAGUUCAGAGCAGUUGUUCAGAUUCAUCUUCUGUGGGCAGCAUGAAAGAGGGCGACUCACCCGCCUCUGCGAGAGAUUCAAAGAGAAACGGCGAGCAAACGGGUCACACUCAGAGCUCCUCACCCUCCACCUCUGUGUGAAUCAUUUCAACUCAUAAUACAAGUCUUAAAAAUAAUACACACUUUUCCUGCUGUUUCUUUAACCAAAAUCUCUGCCACAUAUUUACGACUGGGACAACUGGACACAAACUGGAUCCUGAGACGCACACAGCCGUGUAAAUACAGUAUUGCAGAAGACUGGAGGAGCCGUCUCACUUCUUAUCAUUUCAGUUGCUCUUGAUAAUUGACUUUCAGGUAGUGAAUCAAAGUUGAUUCAACGUCUCAGGCCCAUCACACACAUCAGAGACUAAAAAAAAGAUGACUUUAAAGUCAACAUGAAAUCAAAAUUCACUGAAAAUGUAUUCACUUUCAGGCCGUCCAAUAUGCAGAUGAGUUUGUUUCUUCAUCAGGUUUGGAGAAAUGCAGCAAUGCAUCAGUGUCUCAGCAAUGGAUGCUCUGCAAGUGAAUGGGUGCCGUCAGAAUGAGAGCUGAUAACAACAUCACAAUAAUCCCCAGCACUCCAGUCCAUCAGUUAGCAUCUGGAGAAGACCAAAGCUGAAACAAAUCCAUCAUUAAGACGUUUGCAAUUAAAUACAAGUCCAUAAUCCAUAAUAACGCUUCCUCCAGUGAAAAAGUCCAUCUCCUGUUGUCUCUCACAUAUGUGUUUAGAGCUGCUUUGGCUUGUAAACGGUGUUUGAUCUGUGCAGAUUACUCUCCUGAUUCAGAUCAGACCACUUUUUACAAGACGUUAACUGAUGGACUGGAGUGGUGUGGAUUAUUGUGAUGUUUUUAUCAGCUGUUUGGACUCUCAUUCUGACGGCACCCAUUCACUGCAGAGCAUCCGUUGCCGAGACACUGAUGCAAUGCUACAUUUCUCCAAACCUGAUGAAGAAACAAACUCAUCCUAAUCUUGGACGGCCCGAGGGUGAGCACAUUUUCAGCAAAUUUUCAUUUUGGGUGAAUUAUU